Molecule: microRNA, 21 nt
Filed under: Schmidtea mediterranea
Lineage: Eukaryota; Metazoa; Platyhelminthes; Tricladida; Dugesiidae
Description: sme-miR-754b-3p
Gene: sme-miR-754b-3p
Source: miRBase by way of RNAcentral
AAUUUUAUCAUCAAGCAAUAU